CGGCAGGCUAAGACUAUUCUCAAUUUUUUGUGACAAUAUUCUCAAGAAAGUGAGGACUGAAAAAUCUAUUCAGUUUUAAUUUUCCAUUGAUAAAGUUCCCAGUUGCAACUCUCAUCACAGGGAUACAUGUACUUAUAAAAUCAAAUAUGAUUGAUAUAAAAGCUGUGUGAAGUUUGUUUCCAGAUCCCACAUUUUGAUAUAUCUGUAAAAUUCAUGAAUAAAUAGCUUUAAACUACAAAAAGCAAUAUUUAAAAAAAAAAAAAAAAAAAAAAA
Molecule: long non-coding RNA, 273 nt
Filed under: Mytilus galloprovincialis (Mediterranean mussel)
Lineage: Eukaryota; Metazoa; Mollusca; Bivalvia; Mytilida; Mytilidae
Source: RNAcentral